This 283-nucleotide ribosomal RNA is filed under the name uncultured soil bacterium. RNAcentral's name for it is "partial 16S ribosomal RNA". It matches the Rfam family "Bacterial small subunit ribosomal RNA", at positions 26 to 310 of the family's 1533-position model. The record is from RNAcentral.
AGAUUGAACGCUGGCGGCAGGCCUAACACAUGCAAGUCGAGCGGUAGAGAGGUGCUUGCACCUCUUGAGAGCGGCGGACGGGUGAGUAAUGCCUAGGAAUCUGCCUAGUGGUGGGGGAUAACGUUACGGAAACGGACGCUAAUACCGCAUACGUCCUACGGGAGAAAGCGGGGGACCUUCGGGCCUCGCGCCAUUAGAUGAGCCUAGGUCGGAUUAGCUAGUUGGUGAGGUAAUGGCUCACCAAGGCGACGAUCCGUAACUGGUCUGAGAGGAUGAUCAGUCA